RNAcentral lists this ribosomal RNA (407 nucleotides) under uncultured bacterium. RNAcentral's name for it is "partial 16S ribosomal RNA". It matches the Rfam family "Bacterial small subunit ribosomal RNA", at positions 28 to 526 of the family's 1533-position model. The record is from RNAcentral.
GACGAACGCUGGCGGCGUGCUUAACACAUGCAAGUCGAACGAAGUGGCGAACGGGUGAGUAACGCGUAAUCAACCUGCCCUUCGAGGGGGGACACUAGUUGGAAACGCAUGCUAAUCCCGCAUACUGAGUGACGGGAUUGGGUCUGAUUAGCUAGUUGGGGGGGUAACGGCCCACCAAGGCGAUGAUCCUGAGCUGGUAUGAGAGGAUGAACAGCCACACUGGAACUGAGACACGGCCCAGACUCCUACGGGAGGCAGCAGUGGGGAAUAUUGCACAAUGGGCGCAAGCCUGAUGCAGCCAUGCCGCGUGUAUGAAGAAGGCCUUAGGGUUGUAAAGUACUUUCAGUCGGGAGCGUUACCGACAGAAGAAGCACCGGCUAACUCCGUGCCAGCCGCCGCGGUAAUAC